UCGAGAAUUUUUGACAAUGGGGGAAACCCUGAUCGAGCGACGCCGCGUGGAGGAUGAAGGUCUUCGGGUUGUAAACUCCUGUCAUUUGGGAACAAGGCUCCACGUAUUAACUGUACGUGAGUUGAUAGUACCAGAAGAGGAAGGGACGGCUAACUCUGUGCCAGCAGCCGCGGUAAUACAGAGGUCCCAAGCGUUGUUCGGAUUCAUUGGGCGUAAAGGGUGUGUAGGUGGCGCGCUAAGUCGGGUGUGAAAUUUCGGAGCUUAACUCCGAAACUGCAUUCGAUACUGGCGUGCUUGAGGACUGGAGAGGAGACUGGAAUUUACGGUGUAGCAGUGAAAUGCGUAGAUAUCGUAAGGAAGACCAGUGGCGAAGGCGGGUCUCUGGACAGUUCCUGACACUGAGACACGAAGGCCAGGGGAGCAAACGGGAUUAGAUACCCCGGUAGUCC
This 449-nucleotide ribosomal RNA is filed under the name uncultured bacterium. Its description in RNAcentral is "bacterial SSU rRNA". It matches the Rfam family "Bacterial small subunit ribosomal RNA", at positions 355 to 796 of the family's 1533-position model. The record is from RNAcentral.